AUGAACGCUGGCGGCGUGCCUAAUACAUGCAAGUCGAACGCUUUGUGGUUCAACUGAUUUGAAGAGCUUGCUCAGAUAUGACGAUGGACAUUGCAAAGAGUGGCGAACGGGUGAGUAACACGUGGGAAACCUACCUCUUAGCAGGGGAUAACAUUUGGAAACAGAUGCUAAUACCGUAUAACAAUGACAACCGCAUGGUUGUUAUUUAAAAGAUGGUUCUGCUAUCACUAAGAGAUGGUCCCGCGGUGCAUUAGCUAGUUGGUAAGGUAAUGGCUUACCAAGGCGAUGAUGCAUAGCCGAGUUGAGAGACUGAUCGGCCACAAUGGGACUGAGACACGGCCCAUACUCCUACGGGAGGCAGCAGUAGGGAAUCUUCCACAAUGGGCGAAAGCCUGAUGGAGCAACGCCGCGUGUGUGAUGAAGGGUUUCGGCUCGUAAAACACUGUUGUAAGAGAAGAAUGACAUUGAGAGUAACUGUUCAAUGUGUGACGGUAUCUUACCAGAAAGGAACGGCUAAAUACGUGCCAGCAGCCGCGGUAAUACGUAUGUUCCAAGCGUUAUCCGGAUUUAUUGGGCGUAAAGCGAGCGCAGACGGUUAUUUAAGUCUGAAGUGAAAGCCCUCAGCUCAACUGAGGAAUUGCUUUGGAAACUGGAUGACUUGAGUGCAGUAGAGGAAAGUGGAACUCCAUGUGUAGCGGUGAAAUGCGUAGAUAUAUGGAAGAACACCAGUGGCGAAGGCGGCUUUCUGGACUGUAACUGACGUUGAGGCUCGAAAGUGUGGGUAGCAAACAGGAUUAGAUACCCUGGUAGUCCACACCGUAAACGAUGAGUGCUAGGUGUUUGAGGGUUUCCGCCCUUAAGUGCCGCAGCUAACGCAUUAAGCACUCCGCCUGGGGAGUACGACCGCAAGGUUGAAACUCAAAGGAAUUGACGGGGACCCGCACAAGCGGUGGAGCAUGUGGUUUAAUUCGAAGCAACGCGAAGAACCUUACCAGGUCUUGACAUCCCUUGACAACUCCAGAGAUGGAGCGUUCCCUUCGGGGACAAGGUGACAGGUGGUGCAUGGUUGUCGUCAGCUCGUGUCGUGAGAUGUUGGGUUAAGUCCCGCAACGAGCGCAACCCUUAUUACUAGUUGCCAGCAUUCAGUUGGGCACUCUAGUGAGACUGCCGGUGACAAACCGGAGGAAGGUGGGGAUGACGUCAAAUCAUCAUGCCCCUUAUGACCUGGGCUACACACGUGCUACAAUGGCGUAUACAACGAGUUGCCAACCCGCGAGGGUGAGCUAAUCUCUUAAAGUACGUCUCAGUUCGGAUUGUAGGCUGCAACUCGCCUACAUGAAGUCGGAAUCGCUAGUAAUCGCGGAUCAGCACGCCGCGGUGAAUACGUUCCCGGGUCUUGUACUCACCGCCC
RNAcentral lists this ribosomal RNA (1411 nucleotides) under uncultured Bacilli bacterium. Its description in RNAcentral is "bacterial SSU rRNA". It matches the Rfam family "Bacterial small subunit ribosomal RNA", at positions 29 to 1395 of the family's 1533-position model. Lineage: Bacteria; Bacillati; Bacillota; Bacilli. The record is from RNAcentral.